Molecule: long non-coding RNA, 4826 nt
Filed under: Lactuca sativa (garden lettuce)
Lineage: Eukaryota; Viridiplantae; Streptophyta; Magnoliopsida; Asterales; Asteraceae
Description: long non-coding RNA (LSAT_LNC007888)
Source: RNAcentral
CGUCGGUUACGUCUCAUCCCUUAUCCCAAAUUAAAUUGUUAUCGUUCUUCUUGGCCUAUGGUUCUUGAGACGAGAGAGGGUGUUGGGGGUCUUUCCGGCAACUACCUGCUACUCCGAUCACCACCUUCCUUUCCUCCAAACUGAUUCAGCGAAGUCGUGAAAAAACCGAAUGAACAAUAAGGAGAAAAAGGGGUUGUGACUGUGAAGCUUUCUGGCGACGACUAGGGUUUCGGCAUGAGUCUUUUGAGGUAGCGGGUUUGUUGAGACUCUAUCUAACCAUUUAGUUAUCACAGUGCAUGGCUGAUGUCGAUUGUACCAUAAUGAUGUGAACGUCGAUGUGUAUGUGGUUGAAUUCAGUAGAUAAAACGAGCCUGUAUUUGAGGCGUGUCUUCUUCCAAAGAGUUGUCUUCUUACUAACUGUUGUUGAUCGAGAUGAUGGAUUUCGUGGGAUCGAUGAUUAUCUUCAGUCAACAAAAGAUACAUCACAUAAAUGAACGUUCUUGAGUACAUGUGCUCGUGAGGGACCAUGAGAAGGUUAUUGUGCAACAGUCCUUAUAUAUUUGCUAAGGUAACUUCAUUAUUUUAAUCAUGGAAAAUAAUUCUAGUGGUAAAGUCAUGCAAAUGUGGCUGUAAUAUAUGAGGGUGUUUUCAUGAAAUGUGCAUCAUUACAAACCAUACAUUAAGGUAGUAAUUGAUAUAUAGUCAUUUACGUCAAAGAAGUAAACUGAAAUUGUACAAAAAUGAAGAAGUAAACUAUUUAUAGUAAUAAUUUCCAGUCGGGAUAAUAUAUAAUUGAUUAGGACGUAGAAUUAUAUUAAAUCCUAAUUAUCGUGAUAUAACAUGAUUCACCUUGGGACAAAAAUUCAUAUUAAUAUAGCAAGUGAUGGAGUGAAAACUUAUUAAUAGUGAAUUUACUUUAUAAUUAGAAUUGUGGGAAUAACAUGUUGACGUUGUUGUAGGAUGUCCACUUGAAUUGGUAAUUUGUAAACAAGUUUCAAUUUGCCAAAUUGUUAACCAGAAUAACCUUUGACAUUAUAUUACGUAAAUGAUAUUUGUAUAACAGAGAUUCUUUCAUUGGAAUGGACAUAUAUGGUUUACCUUGGUAAAUAAAUAUGAUGGUGAGAAAUUAUAUAAUUAUGGUGGGAUGAAGUUUUAAUGGUUUUAGUGGCUUAAACCUGUGAAUGGUCUAAAUUACGCAUGAUCGUGUUAUAAAUAAUAAUAAUAAUAUUAAACAACGAUGGGUAGAUUAUUAAAUUAUAAUCACAAGUAGUAACGGUUAUGACUACGAAGUUGUAAUUACUUAGUGAUAAAGUUAUAUGUGUUAAGAGGGGAGGAUUUGGCAACUUCAAGUGAACACGAGACUUGAAGUAGUAAAGAUGGAUUCGUCGAGGAAUAAGGUGAGUACUUGUUAGGAAUAAGCUAGGUGAGUCAAUCUUUAUAGUUAUUUAAAGUACUUGUUAAGAAUUCCACAUUUUAGAGGGAUUGGAAUGAACCUAGAAUGUUUAGGUUGCAUGUACCCCAAAUGUGAAUGAUAUGUUGAUGUGAAUGAUGUUUCUUUCAUGCUCUUCUUUUGUUUGCUAUUUUGAUGUGAAGGGUGUGAUAGGUCCAUGAUAAAAUUAAGGAUUUGUGAUAGUUGUGUGUGGUAUGUGCAUGCUAUGAUUUUUUGGAAAUACUUGUCUAUGUUGGUUAGGACAAUACAUGCUAGUGAUAUAAUAUGCCUUAACGAUGAAAUGAUGAUAUGUGCAUGAUUAUAUGAAGUUGUAAAAUGCCUAAAAUUGUUAUGUCUUGUUGCAUGUUUAUGUGUUUUGAAGUAUGGAAGUAAUAUGCUAGUUAAUAUUAAUAGAAAUUGAGCAUGAUUACUUAAGGAGGUUUGUAGUGUAAUCAUUGUGUGAUGAAUUAAUAAUAUGUUAAAUAAAAAAGGGAAUACACCACUGGGGCGUAAAUGGUAGCAACCUAGACUUAGGUGUGUGUACCCUAUCCAGAUAUUUGUGAGGGCCUUAUAGGUUGAAAGAUACCUAAAGGGAAAGAUCUUAAGGCAAUAGUGAUGCAUAGUGGUUUUUUUAGACAACCAUUCGAGACAUGGUUCAUGAACACUAAGGUGUUCGAGGACUGGAUGGGAAGUUUCUAGUGAUAGGAAACAAUGAUAAUUACCACCCUCGAACGACAAUGCGUGUACUUGUAUGUGCAAUGCCAGAGUAGUGAUUAGUGAACGCAACAAAACGGGAGCAAUGUUACGAGUGAGAGUCGCGUCUCACUUAGUGCAUUGAGUCGAGUCGGUCACGUUAGUAGUGAAUGAGGUUUUUACCUCUUGGGUUAGUGAUGGACCCAGGGUUAGUGAUAGACCCAUUGAGGGAAGGGUUAGGCUGGUGUAACGCCCGUAGAUCCGGGCUAGUCAAUUUAGAGAUAAUAGGGGUCGAAAACGACUUUUUGACAAAAUAUUAUUUAGAAUAAAUGAUCUUAACCAAGUUGUAGAAUAUGUCUCAAGGGUUCCGUACAUAUAAAGAACGCCGAAAUCCGAGUUAUAACGAAGAAGUUAUGGCUCGUCGAAGUUUUUCGGCAAAACCGACACGACACCGGGAGACGUAAAUAGUGAAGUUACAUUGGAGGACUUUUUAGCCUUAGUAAUAUAAACCAAAUUUGUAGUAUACGUAAAACAGAGAACAUCCAUAAAAAGAACGCCCAAAUCUGACUUCGUAUGAGGAAGUUAUGAUUUUUCUAAGAUUUGACAUAGCAGUGCACGACCUGAAACUUGAAUUUUAGUUCGAACGGUUUUUGGCUUACGCAACCUUAAUGAGAUUUGAAGAUCUCAUUAAUAGGAACCCAACGGUAAAAAGAUAGACGAAAACGGAGUCUGUAUGAAGGAGUUAUGAAUUCUCCGCGGUCAUUUAACAGUCUAAUCUUCUCCUACUGUUAAAUUUAAGAUCGGCUGAGAACUAGAAAACGGAGUCCAAAUGAAAGUUGUAGAUCUUGUUAUUACCUACGCAUGGAAAAAAAGAACGUCAAAAACGGAGUUCGUAUGCGAAAGUUAUGAAUUUUUGAAAAUCGGCUGAUUUCCACCCUGUGUGCGUCGCCACGUGUCAACACCAGGCGAAACCUUGGAGCCUACGCAACACCACGACAUGGUGAGGGCCACCACGACAUGGUGACGUUCCAGGAGCACUAUAAAUAGAGGUGCCGGGGCAACCCUCAACCUCACACCUUCACCCCUUCUUUCUCUCUCUAGAAACUCUCUCUUAAACCUCCCAAAACCCCCCAAAAAGCCCAGGGAACCCCCUAGCACGAGGCGGAAGCCCCGGAGCGCCUGACGGCUUCGAAAGGAAGAGCCUUCAGCUCAGAAACUCUACUCCGGCGGAGCCCGGUUUCUAAGGAAACCCGCUGUAAGUGAGCUAUACCUACCCUAUCUUUAGUAUAACUUAUGUUUUAAUAUAGUAACAUUAUUUGGAACUUAUAAUGAGUAUUUGGGCUAUUAUUAUGAGUUAUAUAAGAGUGUUUCUUAACGCUUAUAUAAUAGUAAUAAUAUCUAGACUAUUAAUUAGUCGUGGUUAACGUUAGACUAAACUCUAGUGGUAAUGAUACUAGGUUUUGUCCGAUGGAAAUUGUUUUAACAGUAACGAAGUGCUGUUCGAGUACCGAGUCAUCACCUUAUCAGGUGAGUGCAUGGUCCCUUUCAUCUUACACAUAGAUAUGAAGUAUUUUAUAUAAAUUACGUGCUGUGUGUGCAUAUUAUCUGAAUACUCGCUGUCUAUGCUGGAUGAACGAUUUUAUACAUGUUUUAAAUGAUUUAAAUUGUAUAUGUAUUUUAUAUCUACGAUAAUGUUGGGGCAUAACAUGGGUAGAUGUAAUAGAUGGAAUAUGAGUUGGAUGAUGAGUUGAGAGGUGUUAUAGACUACGAGGUGAGGGUGAGGGGUGGACAAUGUGAGAAGACUUUUCCCAAACGAUGGACCCAUCAUUCAGUAGAGUAUUGAUGACAACCACAGGCUAUUCUAUACAGUCCUGUGGAACACUAGCAGGCUCGCAACUUGUAGGNUGCCUAAACCUUGGCGAUCAUGCAGACUUGAUGCCUAAACCCUGGCGACUAUGUAGACUUAGUGCCCGUUGUGUAAACCUUGGCGAUCAUGCAAACUUGAUGCCUAACCCAUGGCGACUAUGCAGACUUAGUGCCUGUUGUGUAAACCGUGGCAACGAUGGACUUCGUGCCGAUUCCUUAGGAUGAUCCUUAGGAAUGAAUGAACGAGGAAUAGCUGAUUCUUAGGGUAGAUCCUUAAGACUAAAGAAGAUAAUGGGGAUGGGUAAUUGGGUUGAUUGUUUGAUUGUUUAAACAUAAUAAUUAUAUUAUUGUGGGUUGAAAACCCUAUGUACUCACCAGGUUUCCCAACCUGACCCACUCAGUUUAUUUAUAUCACAGGUGUUGAUAUGAAGUCACAUUACACUGAGUGAUUAAAGAGAAGUAGAUCACUAGUGUAAAUAAAUGUAAGUUCCGUUUAUGCUUAUGUUUUUGUAUUGACGAUGACAUCCCAAACGUUUUAAAAUGAAUAAAAUACGUUUCUUCAAAAAUGUUUUGAUAACGUAUUUAUCGUGUUUUUCUGGGAACAAAUUCCGCAACAUUUUUAUUAAAAGAAGUACUCUGAUUUUUAUAAAGCAUAAAAAAAUCGGUUUUUUUUGGGCGUGAAAAAUGGGGAUGUCAAAGCCAGUCACUUAUUAGUGAACGGGUUUUGCCUUUAGGUUAGUGAUGGACCUACAUGUGGGGUGUCUACCUUACGAGUUAGUGAUGGACCCAUGUGUGGGGAGUCUACCUUACGGAUUAAUGAUGGACCCAAGGAUAGGAA